GACGAACGCUGGCGGCGUGCUUAACACAUGCAAGUCGAACGGUGAAGCCUUCGGGUGGAUCAGUGGCGAACGGGUGAGUAACACGUGAGCAAUCUGCCCUUGACUCUGGGAUAACUUCGGGAAACCGGAGCUAAUACCGGAUAUGACAUCUGGCCGCAUGGUCUGGGUGUAGGAAAGUAUUUAUCGGUCAAGGAUGAGCUCGCGGCCUAUCAGCUUGUUGGGUGGGGAAUCGGCCCACCAAGGCGACGACGGGUAGCCGGCCUGAGAGGGCGACCGGCCACACUGGGACUGAGACACGGCCCAGACUCCUACGGGAGGCAGCAGUGGGGAAUAUUGGACAAGUGGGCGCAAGCCUGAUCCAGCAACGCCGCGUGGAGGACGAAGGUC
Molecule: ribosomal RNA, 387 nt
Filed under: uncultured bacterium
Lineage: Bacteria
Description: bacterial SSU rRNA
Rfam family: Bacterial small subunit ribosomal RNA
Source: RNAcentral